CAGAGUAGAAUCUUGUGCGUGGCGCCCAGUGGCGCGCAGUGCCGUCUGAACGGGGAGUUGUCAGACGGACGAAACGGGUAAAAAUCCCUGCGGUUCAAGAUUCGCAUCCCGCUGU
This 115-nucleotide non-coding RNA is filed under the name human gut metagenome. Its description in RNAcentral is "THF riboswitch". It matches the Rfam family "THF (Tetrahydrofolate) riboswitch aptamer". From Rfam's summary of the family: THF riboswitch presents a pseudoknot that joins P1-P2 and the loop of P3 and two THF binding. RNAcentral also lists the same sequence under 1 other name. The record is from RNAcentral.